This 7224-nucleotide long non-coding RNA is filed under the name Xyrichtys novacula (pearly razorfish). Lineage: Eukaryota; Metazoa; Chordata; Actinopteri; Labriformes; Labridae. The record is from RNAcentral.
UGUCAUGAUAGCAUGUACUGAGUCGGGGCCAGUACCAGAUAAGCACAUUAAACUAUAAUCCAUAAACGUAAGGUAACAACAGAGAACUAAUGGUGCUGUGACAGCAACACGAUUGAGUUUGAGACAGUAAAAAUACAUAUGGUAUGUUGUAUCUGAACAGGUUAGCUUAUGAGCUAAAGUUACUUAGCACAGAUGAAAGUUAAAACAAAGACGUUUAUCAAACUGUUAAAGCACACAAACCAUCGUCAUAUGAGAAAUCCGACGCUAUGACUCUCCACAAGUUGUCCUUCAGGUCGUUAUCUUUGUAAUAUUUGUGUUUUUUAUCAAAAAGCACUCUGUUCUCCGACACGUAAACAAUCAGCCAGCCAUGUUGGAUAUACCGGUGAUUCAGACGUCGCAACAACACAAAAUCUUAUUGGUCCGAAGUAGAUACACAGUAUGCGAAACUUUAGAAAAUUCGACCGUGAUACGAAAAAUGAAUGUCGCAAUAUCACAGGUCAGGAAAACGUCACUGAUGUGAACGCUUGUAUUGACAGGAUACGGGUUUAAAAAUAUAUAUAUAUUGACAUCCGACAUAAUCACCCGAAAAAAGCGCUUUGUGUUCUUUUAUUGGAGAGAGCCAAUAUGGAAGUUUUUCUGGUACCAGAAAAUAAACUGUUUCUUCAAAAUUUUAAAAGCUGAGUUCAAAAUUUAAACAGUGUGAUGUCAAAAGUAUUUUCUUUUAGGGAAAUGCUUAAAAAAAACAAAUGUUAAAAACCUUUCAGUGCAAGAAAUACAAGAAAACAACAUCACUGAGUCAUUUCCGGAUGUGGAAAAUCUUUAUUGUCCCAAAGCAGCAGUUUGUUCUGCAACAGCAGUCCACACAUGAAUCAUACAACAGCACUGGAAAUACACAAAAUAACAAACAGUAGAGGACCUGGUUCGUCUAAAGGAGAGAUUUGGGAAAACAUUGGCAUACUUGUUCACAGUAAUAGUGGGAUACUGGUUUGUUUAUGAGUGGUAGGUACUGUUAGGUCUAAUGUUUGCAUAGAAAGCAUGUCCUCUGUCAUUACCCCAUGGUGCAGGAAUAAAUAAUAGAUUUCGAUCAGCUGUUCCAGAGUUUCUAACUGCUGCUAAAUCUGGCGAUGGCACCAGUUGAUGAUAUUGAGCAGCUAUCACUGGGAUGAGCAGCUCAGCAUCUGCUGCUGUCUGGGGACUGUGACAGCAGAAUGGAUAGCUGGAUUAAAACAUUAGACAGCUGCUGAUGAAGGACCCUUAAUUAGAUGGUAUAAGAAUAUUUAUCAUAUUUGAGACGGGUGACAACAAUAGCCUGAUUACUUGUGGAGACACAGAGAUAAGGACUGCCCUUACCUGCAUACACGUGGACAUGGACUGAUUAAUUCAUAUUUCAGUCUAGAUGAAGAUGAGUCCAUACAGCCAAGACUAACACUCCAUCAUUACAUCAGAGGGUUGAUGUCCGCUUAGCCCUCCAAUCAGCCCCCCAUUCGGUUUAGAUGACACAUGGUUUGUCAGAUGUCAGAACAACAGUCAGAGCUCUGCAGGACCGACCGAGCGCACUCUGUCACAACACGUCAAACCCGCGCUCUGAUGGAAAUAAUGAGCGUUACAUGACAGGGAACAAGCAUCUGGAAGCUUCUUGAGUUUCUCCUGGAAAAUCUUAAGACUGGAUUGAAGAUAUCUGGAUCUAGAUGUUUUGUUUUCCCUCGAAUGCCUCUAAAAAAGUAAAGUUUUCCUGAUUUGAGGGUCUAAUCUUAUGAAUGCUAAUAUUUGUUUACAACAGUAGAUGACACCGUUUAUCUGUGAAGUGAGCAAACCCCCUUUGUGAAGAAGGGCCAAACUGGUGAUUCGAUUGAAGUUAGGAUCAAACUCAAAUGAUUGACGUCUAGUUGUGUGUGAAGAUUGUCAUAUUAUCAAGUGUUGGUAUCUGGCCAAUCUCCGAACAUUGAGACAUUGUUGCUAUGUUGAAACCGUGAGUUUAAUUUCUUUCGGCUUCUUCCCUCAGACUCAGUCAGCCCGUUUGGUGGGACAGAUGGCUCUGAAUCAAAGCCUCGCUUUCACUUUUUGAAUACUACUUUUGUCUCUCCAACUUUCUCACUUUGGUUUUCUCACUCGACGCCCUCUGACUGCCCAGCUGUCAAAACCCGAAUGAGUGAAGAGUGUAGACAGGACACCUGUUAGUGUUGAAAACUGAUCUCUUGUUUAUGGGAAGUUUAAAUCAAAAUUUCAAAAGAAAACUUCAAGAAGAUUAGAUUUAGACGUGAAAUUACUUAUAUUGUGGCACCCCGGGAAGAAAAAAAAAAUCAGAAUAUUUCUCCACAGUCUUUCUUUUGUGCAAAGAAAUGAUAUUUUCAUCUUUCAAAGAGGGUUGAUUAGUUUACAGUCAUCAGCAUCACACCAUCAUCCCACAAAGAAUAAAACAAAGUAUUUAUAAAAGUACUUAAGACACAAUUUGCAAGUCAUUUGGAUGCAUAGCAGUUAGCUAGAUUUAUUUCAAAAAGGCAGUGGAGGACUCACGCACAUAGAAAGAUGGAAAAGAUAAAUGUCUUAAAAAGUUGGAUUCAUUUUAUUGCUAGGAUCAAACAAAUAAGCAGAAAGCGUUUCAGUCGACUAUCAUAAGUGCAAUAGUGAGAGGUCAGUCUGACUGUGUCUUUGAGUUCUUCUCAGUCAGACUGGAGAGAUUAAUUAGACACACCUGGAGUCCUUAAUUGGAAACACCUGGAGCCCUUAAUUAGACACACCUGGAGCUUCUUACACAGAGCAGGUAAUUGAGCCAGGGUGUGGCCCAGGAUGCAUUGUGAUACAUGACAUCAUAGCAAUCUAAAACAAAUCCAAGUGGCUCACUAUGGACCCUGAAUCUGAAAUAAAGAAUAUUCUAUACUAUUCUAUUUACAUACUAAAGCCAUGGACCUACGGGUUAUUAUUUACAUCAAUGAAAACAUAUGAACAGGGAAUGGGUUUAGCCAGUGCAAACAGACAGUCAUAAAAAGCAAGCCAUUUCUAAUUCUUCAUUUAAACCAGUGGCCAGUAAAUAUCACAGGAUGGGAAAACAUCGCUAAUGUGAACGCUUGUAUUGACAGGAUACGGGUUUGAAAAAAAGUAUAGACGUCCGAAAUAAUCACACGACAAACACGGUCCCGGUGUGAAAGCACCUUAAAACGGCUGCAAAAAUGAGCACUGAAACACAUUAGUCAAGAGAAAACUCCAUCAGGUGAUGAUUAUAGCACGUGUCAGCAUGACCCUUAAAGCUGAUGAAAGACAACAUAAGAACAGAUUCAAUAAAUCAAGAGUCAAACAUUAAAAAAAAAAAAAAAAAAACAACACUUCACCAGUCAGGAGUUUUCCCUCUGAUAUCACAGAGGCCGAAAAUAACUUCACUCUGAACAAUUCCCAGCUGACUUGCUGUCUGAAGAGCUGCAUCCUCCUCUCUGAUCAAAACUAAACUCUCCCUCUUCUCUUCCUCUUCAUCCUAAUUUCCAUUUUUAACCUCUGCAGCCUGCACAGUACUACACAGGAGUCGCUUGAUUCUUCAGACACGCCUCAUAUUUGCACGGAGGAGGCGUCAGUUUGCCAAUGUUACGGAAUAAAAGCUCAGAAAUGCUGCAUUGUGCGUCCUCCUCUCAAACAAAACAUCACUAAUGAUCAGCUACUCAUUCAAUAAAUAAAUCCUCAGUACUGUGUUUUCCUGCACUAAUCAUUAUACUUAAUGUAGGAGCUCUUAUUGUAAGCCUGUGUUUUUAUUUUUGCAACAAAAGCAUUUCAGCUGCAGAUUAUUUCAGUCCUCUUCUGUGAAAUAAUGACGCUUAUGUAACUCCUUAUACCUCCACUCCUUUCAGCGCAUCCUAAUUGCCCUUAAAUCCCAGAUGUCCUUGCGUUUUUUUUUUUUUUUUCCCCCUGCAAAACAAUUAGUUUAAAUGGAGCUACUUGUUUUUGUAAAAGCAUGAUAAUGCACUGAAGUAUCAGAGGAUCAUAAAGCAUUAAAACACGAUUAUAUAAAAGGUUUUCUGAGGACUUUUCAAGAGGCUGUUAAUGUGUCUGAAAAAGAAGAGAAAGACACAAAUCUGAGGGCAGUGUGUGUGUGUUGGUGUGUCUCCAUGCUUGUUUGUUUUCUGUGCACGUGGCGUGCAGGCUGCUCUGAGGUAUUGACGUAUCGAGCUGUGGGCCUCGACCCGAGCCAGGCCACCAAAUUGAGUCAUCAUCAGUUUAACGCAUCUCUGAGGCCGAUCCUGCCGAGACAUCAAUAAUUUACCAGGAUGGGACAAUCAUUUUGGGACCGACCGGCGUAUCGAUAAACAUGUCUCUGGAGAAGAGCUAAAUGCCAAAUGUGUCGUCCUCAGAACAGCAGCUCAGACCGCCAGAGUCUCACAGGAGGACAGGAAAUUCAGCCGGCUGCGAGAUAACAACGGACAGGAUUUUCACUCUCCACAUUUCCACUCCUGCUGGGAUAAUGAAGCUGAAAUAAUCAAUGUUAAACGUUUUAGCAAUAAACCAAAAGACAAGAAGUGAUGUCAAAGCUGUCUAGUAACAACACAAGCAUUAGUUUCUCUCAGCUAGAAGUGUCAACUUUGCAGAAAUCUGAAGUUUAGUUGGAUUUUUUGGUUGAAACUUUAAAAAAGAUGUGCGAAUAAGAACCUAGCUGCACAGCUAAGAGUGCAUUUUUUUGCAAUCUCUAUAUUUAUCUACAAUUUUCAGAAAAAAAUAAGCAAAAAUUCUCAGUCUUUUAGAAUAGGAUGUUUAAUUAUUAUUAUUAUUAUGAUUAUUUUGUUUGCUUUUAAAAUAUGAGUCUAAAAAUCAAACAACCUGAAGGUCAUCAAUGUCUUUUUCACAUGCGCGGUCAAAUUUCAAGAUUCAAGAGCUUUUCUCUACACAUCCAAGAAAUGCACUGAAAUUAAAAAUGGCAACUCCUGCAGCAACCUGGACACCAAAGAGCAACCUGAAAUUCAAAUAAAACUAUAAUUAUUACAUUAUCUUGAUAGUUUUUGUAUAAAUGCAUUGAUUUAAUCUAGAUAAAGUAUUAAACCAAGAGGUGUGCAUUUAUGUUCAAAUGAGCACGUACAAGUUGGUGGUUUUAAGAUGCAUUAAUGUCUUCAUUGGUAGGGUUAGGGUUCAGUUGGACUAGACUGAUAUUUGCUGGAAAAAAUUAAAUCAAAUACAGGGACUUAAAAUCCUUGAAUGUAAAUCUGUGAUUCCUAAAGGAAGUGAGCUAAAAUCCUACUUGUUAACAGUGAAUCAAAUAUAAGUUGAAUAAACACAUUAAUGCAGAUUUAAAGCCAUUACUCCCUAAAUCUAAUUGUUUCUGUUUUACUGUGCUAAGUAGAAAAAGAGGAAACCUCUAUUUCCUCCCUUUAUUCACUCGUACUGUAUUUACUUGUAUAUUUCUACAUGGUCCAGAGUUUUUCAUUCACAUUUCCCACAAAUUCAGUUUGACAUUUUAUAUUUUGGCAGGCUUUUAGAAGUCUGGUGUUAUUUGCUGUGUUUGCAUAUCCCCCUGCAAUAAAAGUCCUACUAAAAGCUCCAGAAAAACACCAAAGUGUAACAGGUUAAUAAAUCUCUCAUUAUGACACCUUUUAAUCUAAACAUUAUCCUUUACUGUUAAUCCGUCCUUUAAACAGUGGGACAUAAAUCCACUCACUUCAUCCCGGUAACAAAUAAGCGUCAUGGUUGUUUCAGAGAAAUUAACAUGCACAGCUGAAUCUCCUAAACAAACCAAACUAAUGAUUUUUGGGGCUCACGCAGGCUGAGUUUGUUCCCCCGUGUGAGUUUAAAGGUGACCUUUGUGUUGUGGGACACACGCCGCUCUGCCACAGCUUGUGAUUAACAUCUGCACUCAGUCUGCACAGCUUGAGCACCAUUAGAGGGGAAAUAUGGAGACACAAUGAGCCAAAGUACAGCAGGUUUUUUAUUUUUAUUUUUUUAUACACCUGCAUAAGGUAACUCCACAAACUUUCCAUAGCUGAUACACAUACACUGAUACACUCAUGCAAGCACCACGUUUGGACAAGUUUUCAGCAAUAGAGCUGGAAUAAACACAACUGACUGACAUGCUACUGAUUUAUUGUUUCUGUUCAAAGAAACUAACAUUAACAACAUUUGCCAUAAUGUUCUUAAUGCAUGUAUAACUUUAUAUGCAGAUGAUGCAGUUACUUACUUCUCAGCUCCAACAUUGAAUCAGGUUCUCUCUUACAAGAUUCUUUUGACAGUGUUCACAAACUCAAAAACAAAGCUGCACCUGCUUGAUUUUAAGAUUUUAUUUUACUUUCUGUCCCCAGAGAGCAUCUUGAUACUGGGUUAAGGAGUCUAGGACUACAUUUACAUGUGCCCCGCACGGACAUUUCACCCUCUCCGUUUAUAAAAAAAACAAUAACUGUGUGCACACCACUACAUUUUCAGAAAAGUUCUUGUUUACUCUAACCCAUAUUUAUGAAGCUCAAGCCCACGUUAGCCAAUCAGAAUCCUGCAUAGCAGCAACAACAACAACAACAACGUCACUUCCUACUUUUGGAAAAGACAAUAUAAAGGGAUUUCCUUAGCAAAAAUGCGACUGCUAUUCUGCAUGCAUCCAUGAUCACCAUAGAUUGUAAACAUAGACUGUAAACAACGUCGCAUUUAACUCAGUUUUCGGUACACAAUCUGCCGUCGGCUACCGAAAUCUCUAUUUACCUCAGUUUUUCUUAGUUUUUUUUUAUGCGCUUGACUAUACAUAUCAAGCCCGAUGCGAUUUUGCAAACGGGGGGAAAAAAGACACGUCCUGGGUGAAAGUGAGAAGACUGACACAACAUCAGACUGACUGUUUUUCAGUUCUGAUUAGACUCUAGUGUUGAGUUGGCUGUUUGUCAUGAUAGCAUGUACUGAGUCGGGGCCAGUACCAGAUAAACACAUUAAACUAUAAUCCAUAAACAUAAUGUAACAACUGAGACCUAAUGGUGCUGUGACAGUAUCUGAACAGGUUAGCUUACAAGCUAAAGUUACUUAGCACAGAUGAAAGUUGAAACAAAGACAUUUAGCAAACUGUUAAAGCACACAAACUAUCGUCAUAUGAGAAAUCCGACGCUAUGACUCUCCAUAAGUUGUCCUUCAGGUCGUUAUCUUUGUAAUGUUUGUGAUUUUUAUCAAAAAGCACUCUGUUCUCCGACACGUAAACAAUCAGCUGGUCGGCCAUGUUGGAUAUACCGGUGAAUCAGACGUCGCAACAACACACAAUCUGAUUGGUCAGAAGUGGACACACAU